GGGGGCUGGCGGUGGGCGG
Molecule: microRNA, 19 nt
Filed under: Macrophomina phaseolina MS6
Lineage: Eukaryota; Fungi; Ascomycota; Dothideomycetes; Botryosphaeriales; Botryosphaeriaceae
Description: miR-2861
Source: RNAcentral